GAAACGCGAACCAAGCAGCCCCAUCCCAAGGGCAUGAGACUUGGAGCGAACACCCGCAAGAGUGUUCUACA
This 71-nucleotide non-coding RNA is filed under the name Bifidobacterium longum subsp. infantis CCUG 52486. Its description in RNAcentral is "Transposase-2 RNA". It matches the Rfam family "Transposase-2 RNA". The record is from Rfam by way of RNAcentral. Lineage: Bacteria; Bacillati; Actinomycetota; Actinomycetes; Bifidobacteriales; Bifidobacteriaceae.